GAUGAACGCUGGCGGCGUGCCUAAUACAUGCAAGUCGAGCGAACGGACGAGAAGCUUGCUUCUCUGAUGUUAGCGGCGGACGGGUGAGUAACACGUGGAUAACCUACCUAUAAGACUGGGAUAACUUCGGGAAACCGUAGCUAAUACCGGAUAAUAUUUUGAACCGCAUGGUUCAAAAGUGAAAGACGGUCUUGCUGUCACUUAUAGAUGGAUCCGCGCUGCAUUAGCUAGUUGGUAAGGUAACGGCUUACCAAGGCAACGAUGCAUAGCCGACCUGAGAGGGUGAUCGGCCACACUGGAACUGAGACACGGUCCAGACUCCUACGGGAGGCAGCAGUAGGGAAUCUUCCGCAAUGGGCGAAAGCCUGACGGAGCAACGCCGCGUGAGUGAUGAAGGUCUUCGGAUCGUAAAACUCUGUUAUUAGGGAAGAACAUAUGUGUAAGUAACUGUGCACAUCUUGACGGUACCUAAUCAGAAAGCCACGGCUAACUACGUGCCAGCAGCCGCGGUAAUACGUAGGUGGCAAGCGUUAUCCGGAAUUAUUGGGCGUAAAGCGCGCGUAGGAGGUUUUUUAAGUCUGAUGUGAAAGCCCACGGCUCAACCGUGGAGGGUCAUUGGAAACUGGAAAACUUGAGUGCAGAAGAGGAAAGUGGAAUUCCAUGUGUAGCGGUGAAAUGCGCAGAGAUAUGGAGGAACACCAGUGGCGAAGGCGACUUUCUGGUCUGUAACUGACGCUGAUGUGCGAAAGCGUGGGGAUCAAACAGGAUUAGAUACCCUGGUAGUCCACGCCGUAAACGAUGAGUGCUAAGUGUUAGGGGGUUUCCGCCCCUUAGUGCUGCAGCUAACGCAUUAAGCACUCCGCCUGGGGAGUACGACCGCAAGGUUGAAACUCAAAGGAAUUGACGGGGACCCGCACAAGCGGUGGAGCAUGUGGUUUAAUUCGAAGCAACGCGAAGAACCUUACCAAAUCUUGACAUCCUUUGACAACUCUAGAGAUAGAGCCUUCCCCUUCGGGGGACAAAGUGACAGGUGGUGCAUGGUUGUCGUCAGCUCGUGUCGUGAGAUGUUGGGUUAAGUCCCGCAACGAGCGCAACCCUUAAGCUUAGUUGCCAUCAUUAAGUUGGGCACUCUAAGUUGACUGCCGGUGACAAACCGGAGGAAGGUGGGGAUGACGUCAAAUCAUCAUGCCCCUUAUGAUUUGGGCUACACACGUGCUACAAUGGACAAUACAAAGGGCAGCGAAACCGCGAGGUCAAGCAAAUCCCAUAAAGUUGUUCUCAGUUCGGAUUGUAGUCUGCAACUCGACUACAUGAAGCUGGAAUCGCUAGUAAUCGUAGAUCAGCAUGCUACGGUGAAUACGUUCCCGGGUCU
RNAcentral lists this ribosomal RNA (1372 nucleotides) under uncultured bacterium. Its description in RNAcentral is "bacterial SSU rRNA". It matches the Rfam family "Bacterial small subunit ribosomal RNA", at positions 28 to 1381 of the family's 1533-position model. The record is from RNAcentral.